CACGUAGGGUGCGAGCGUUGUCCGGAAUUAUUGGGCGUAAAGAGCUCGUAGGCGGUGUGUCGCGUCGGCCGUGAAAACCUGCAGCUUAACUGUGGGCUUGCGGUCGAUACGGGCAUCACUGGAGUUCGGCAGGGGAGACUGGAAUUCCUGGUGUAGCGGUGGAAUGCGCAGAUAUCAGGAGGAACACCGAUGGCGAAGGCAGGUCACUGGGCCGCAACUGACGCUGAGGAGCGAAAGCGUGGGGAGCGAACAGG
This 254-nucleotide ribosomal RNA is filed under the name uncultured bacterium. RNAcentral describes it as "partial 16S ribosomal RNA". It matches the Rfam family "Bacterial small subunit ribosomal RNA", at positions 524 to 776 of the family's 1533-position model. The record is from RNAcentral.